GGGGAAACUGCCUCCAUGAUCCAAUCACCUCCCACCUGGUCCUUCCCUCGACAUGUGGGGAUUACAACUCUAGAUGAGAUUUGGGUGGGGACUGCUUUUACUACCUAAAGAAGAUGGUCAGACUAUAAAAAUGUGUUUUGGUUCUAUGACAAUACUAUGUAGAACAAGGCCCAAAUGUGAACACUUAAAUUCAUUAACUGAAUAUUUAUUUUAUUACAGCUAGAGCAGUUUUUCAAUUUUCAUGAUUUCUAUGCCAAAACAUAUCUGAACACUAUGCAAAUAUGAAAUAGUCU
RNAcentral lists this long non-coding RNA (293 nucleotides) under Pan troglodytes (chimpanzee). RNAcentral's name for it is "long non-coding RNA NONPTRT013673". Lineage: Eukaryota; Metazoa; Chordata; Mammalia; Primates; Hominidae. The record is from RNAcentral.